Molecule: transfer RNA, 68 nt
Filed under: Marmota monax (woodchuck)
Lineage: Eukaryota; Metazoa; Chordata; Mammalia; Rodentia; Sciuridae
Rfam family: tRNA
About the family: Transfer RNA (tRNA) molecules are approximately 80 nucleotides in length. Their secondary structure includes four short double-helical elements and three loops (D, anti-codon, and T loops).
Source: Rfam by way of RNAcentral
GUUGUGGCUCAGCGGUAGAGCGCUUGCCUAGCAUGCAUGAGGUGCUGGGUUCGAUCCACAGCACAACA